Non-coding RNA from Schizosaccharomyces pombe (fission yeast), 201 nucleotides. The record is from the annotation of a GenBank genome assembly. Lineage: Eukaryota; Fungi; Ascomycota; Schizosaccharomycetes; Schizosaccharomycetales; Schizosaccharomycetaceae.
CAUUAAAUCCGGAGAAUAUGAUUUUUGAGCUGCUUGGUUGGGGACUAUUGGUGAUUCAGUAAUGUACAUAAAAUGUUUUUCCAAGUCAAGCAUUCUUUCUUCAUCAAUCAUUUCGUUGGGAAUUGUGUCUUCCUCCUGGAUACCAGAUGAUGUUCUCUGCACCCAGUCAGCCCAUAUUUCGGACAUCUUAUCACACAAGGC